UUUGAGAGAGCAGGUGUAAAAUCACAACUGGAAGAAAGUUACAUAUGUCACAUCUCUUGACCUGUGUAAGGUGGUGGAAAAGAUUUCAUGUCUAUCUACCUUAUCAAAUUCUUUUUAGUAGGAAAAAUCAUUCCACAAAUUCUCUUGGAUUAUACACACAUUUGCUUUAGCAAAUGGAGUCUUAUCAAUUCACUUCUGAGAUGAAUUGAUGAAUUGAGAUGAAUUCUGAGACACAAUGCACACUUGAUGCUUGGGGG
This 257-nucleotide long non-coding RNA is filed under the name Bos taurus (domestic cattle). Its description in RNAcentral is "long non-coding RNA NONBTAT015111". The record is from RNAcentral. Lineage: Eukaryota; Metazoa; Chordata; Mammalia; Artiodactyla; Bovidae.